UACAGGGGAUGGGUAAAGGACCAAUGGGUUACAGAGGAUUUGGGACGGGCACAGGCCAGUGGGUUACGAAGGAUCUGCAUAGUGUCUCCUAAAGGACUGUGGGUCUGUCUUUUCUCGCCGUGACCAGAGAAGUGGUUGCCUUUCCAGGGAGUUCUGCUGGGCGAUUGCGAAAUCUCUUAUUUCAGCAGAGAUCCCUCCAGGGGAGUGGCUGGGCAUACCCCACACCCUGGCACUCCAGGGAGUUCCAGGCUGCUGCAACUGUUUGGCUCAAGCCCCUGAGAGACGCUGGACUAUUGCUGAGUGAUGGCUCUGAGAGUUGUCCACUUGUGGAGGGCCAGGGUGCUGGGCCGGGUCCGGGGAAGGUUUUGGGUGUGGAAUGGCCCGUGCGCAUGAGACGGGGGGGGGGGGGGGGGGUGAACUCUCGCUGCCUGGAGGCUGCAAAUGGGGCUUUGAAGGGGGUAAGAGGCAAAUGCUGCAAGGAGAGAUGGUGCCUCUUCUCCUGCUAAUGGCCCUCCCUGACACAACUUGCACAAGUUGUAAAACUUUCUCUUCCCUUCUAUGUUUCUUUAAGUGAUCAUUUCAUACUUUGUUGUUGCUGUAUUGCGAUAGGGACCAAAGGGCUGCAUGGCUGCUUUCCGUCGCAGCCCCACGGUUCUGAAAUAAACCCUGCGUACGCACGUAGGGGUGCACGUGUUUGCAAA
Corvus hawaiiensis (hawaiian crow) is the source of this 701-nucleotide long non-coding RNA. RefSeq lists it as uncharacterized. The transcript is spliced from 2 exons. Lineage: Eukaryota; Metazoa; Chordata; Aves; Passeriformes; Corvidae. The record is from RefSeq and is a predicted model, not a curated record.